This 831-nucleotide ribosomal RNA is filed under the name Triticum aestivum (bread wheat). RNAcentral's name for it is "partial small subunit ribosomal RNA". The record is from RNAcentral. Lineage: Eukaryota; Viridiplantae; Streptophyta; Magnoliopsida; Poales; Poaceae.
AUGUACCGAGAUCCCAACCCCUUCGACGAGGGCGCCGACGACAACGCCUUCUCCAAUGGGGGAGGACGCGGUGGUGCCGCUGGUGGUGGCGGCGGUAAGUCGCAGUUCCAGUUUCGCCCGACGGAGCCCGUCGGAUUCGGCGCCGGUGGCAACGGCGACGCCGCCGUCGACAUCCCCCUUGACAACAUGAACGGUUCGAGUGGCAAGGAAAGCGAGCUCUCGCAGUGGCAGGCAGAUCUCAAGAGGCGAGAGGCGGACAUCAAGAGGAGGGAGGAAGCUCUCAAGAGCGCUGGGGUGCCCAUGGAGGACAAGAACUGGCCGCCGUUCUUCCCAAUCAUCCACCAUGACAUUGCCAAUGAAAUACCAGCCAACGCGCAGCGGUUGCAGUAUCUUGCUUUUGCUAGCUGGCUCGGCAUCGUGCUUUGCCUCGUUUGGAAUUUCAUUGCUGUCACAGUCUGUUGGAUCAGAGGGGGAGACUCUAAACUGUUUUUCCUGGCUACUAUCUACGGUAUGCUUGGAGUACCUUUGUCGUACUUGAUGUGGUAUAGGCCUCUGUACCGUGCAAUGAGAACUGACAGCGCAUUCAGCUUUGGGUGGUUUUUCCUUUGUUACAUGCUCCACAUUGGCUUUUGUAUAAUUGCUGCCAUUGCUCCGCCAAUCGUGUUUCGUGGGAAGUCACUAACGGGUAUACUGGCUGCAAUCGAUACCUUCUCUGAUCAUGCAUUAGUUGGGAUACUUUACUUUGUCGGAUUUGCCUUGUUUUCACUGGAGACAGUUGUGAGCAUUUGGGUUCUUCAGAGAGUAUACAUGUAUUUCAGAGGGCACAAGUGA